GACAGAGGGUGCAAACGUUGUUCGGAUUUACUGGGCGUAAAGGGCGCGUAGGCGGCCUCUGCAAGUCGACUGUGAAAUCUCCGGGCUUAACCCGGAAAGGUCAGCCGAUACUGCAGGGCUAGAGUGCAGAAGGGGCAACUGGAAUUCUCGGUGUAGCGGUGAAAUGCGUAGAUAUCGAGAGGAACACCUGCGGCGAAGGCGGGUUGCUGGGCUGACACUGACGCUGAAGUGCGAAAGCUAGGGGAGCGAACGGG
RNAcentral lists this ribosomal RNA (254 nucleotides) under uncultured bacterium. RNAcentral's name for it is "partial 16S ribosomal RNA". It matches the Rfam family "Bacterial small subunit ribosomal RNA", at positions 524 to 776 of the family's 1533-position model. The record is from RNAcentral.